AAUCCUUUAMAAAGGAUCCAUUGAAGGGCAAGUCUGGUGCCAGCAGCCGCGGUAAUUCCAGCUUCAAUAGCGUAUAUWAAAGUUGUUGCGGUUAAAAAGCUCGUAGUUGGUUCUGCGUGCCACGCUGUCGGUUCGCCGCCUGCCGGUGUAACUGGCAUGCCGUGGCAUGUCCUGUCGGUGGCGUUCGGGAGCCUCGUCUAGGUGACGGCCCUUGCCACAAGCUCGGUGUCCGGAGGCCGGGGGUAUACCCGUUCGCCUACUCUAUCCUACCUAGGUGCUCUUUACCGAGUGUCGAGGUAGGCCGACACGUUUACUUUGAACAAAUUAGAGUGCUCAAAGCAGGCUGAAAUCUCUGCCUGAAUAGUGGUGCAUGGAAUAAUAAAACAGGACCUUGGUUCUAUUUUGUUGGUUCUUAGGAACACAAGGUAAUGAUCAAUACGGACAGGCGGGGGCAUUCGUAUUGCGACGUUAGAGGUGAAAUUCUUGGAUCGUCGCAAGACGCACAAGAGCGAAAGCAUUUGCCAAGUAUGUCUUGAUUGAUCAAGAACGAAAGUUAGAGGUUCGAAGGCGAUCAGAUACCGCCCUAGUUCUAACCAUAAACGAUGCCAGCCAGCGAUCCGCCGAUGUUCCUCCGAUGACUCGGCGGGGAGCUUCUUCCCGGGAAACCAAAGCUUUUGGGUUCCGGGGGAAGUAUGGUUGCAAAGCUGAAACUUAAAGGAAUUGACGGAAGGGCACCACCAGGAGUGGAGCCUGCGGCUUAAUUUGACUCAACACGGGAAACCUCACCAGKCCAGGACAUUGGAAGGAUUGACAGA
RNAcentral lists this ribosomal RNA (815 nucleotides) under Henrylygus nubilus. Its description in RNAcentral is "SSU rRNA". It matches the Rfam family "Eukaryotic small subunit ribosomal RNA", at positions 530 to 1258 of the family's 1831-position model. The record is from RNAcentral. Lineage: Eukaryota; Metazoa; Arthropoda; Insecta; Hemiptera; Miridae.